Molecule: small nuclear RNA, 345 nt
Filed under: Aotus nancymaae (Ma's night monkey)
Lineage: Eukaryota; Metazoa; Chordata; Mammalia; Primates; Aotidae
Description: 7SK RNA (ENSANAG00000009230.1)
Rfam family: 7SK RNA
About the family: 7SK was discovered as an abundant small nuclear RNA in the mid-70s but a possible function has only recently been suggested.
Source: Rfam by way of RNAcentral
GGACCUGAGAGUGAUCUGGCUCUGACAUCUGUCACCCCAUUGAUUGCCAGGGUUGAUUUGGCUGAUCUGGCUGUCCAGGAGGGUGUCUGCUUUCUCCUUCACUGCUCCAUGUGUGUCCUUCCAGAAGCUUCAAGUUCAGUCAAAGAGGACAACCUUUUCCAAUAGAGGAGGACUGUACCUCGGUCAAGGGUAUAUGAGUAUCUGUGCUCUCCUGCUAGAAAUUCCAAACAAGCUCUCUAAGUCUAAGGCCAGGGAGGGCAAGGGGAACUAGGAGAAAUAUCAAAUGGGUACAAUGGACCCCACACCCAUGCCAGUAGAAGGUGAUGAUAGAAGAGGUUUCUCUUU